RNAcentral lists this transfer RNA (623 nucleotides) under Bartonella coopersplainsensis. RNAcentral's name for it is "partial 16S-23S ribosomal RNA intergenic spacer". The stretch from base 117 to 190 matches the Rfam family "tRNA". Lineage: Bacteria; Pseudomonadati; Pseudomonadota; Alphaproteobacteria; Hyphomicrobiales; Bartonellaceae. The record is from RNAcentral.
CCAAGCCUUCUGGCAAUCCGCGAUAAGUUCUUUGUAGAACUUUAAGAAAAGCAUUUUCCAUUAAAAGAAUGCUUUCAUGUGAUAAUGCCGGGGAAGGUUUUCCGGUUUAUCCCGGAGGGCUUGUAGCUCAGUUGGUUAGAGCGCGCGCUUGAUAAGCGUGAGGUCGGAGGUUCAAGUCCUCCCAGGCCCACCAAUUAUCCAUCCAUAGAAAAGCGCUUAGAAAGUUUGACUGUUAACAGGUCAACGUUGUUUUGUAGGACGCCAAUAUUGUCUUGAAAAAGAGCUUUCUUGUAAAGUUUGAGAAAACUUGUUUAUCGCUUUUUGUAAGAUGUGGUGUUUGUCUGCUUUUAAAGCGAUCGAAACUGAAAGUGUUUCAAAGAUAAGAGUCUUGGAACAGAAGAGUCUUGGAAUAGAAAAGAAUAUAAAGUCUAGGUGGUAUUACAUAGUCUAGAGUUAAAUUGUUCAUGAUUGGAACAUUUCAUAUUGAAAUGCUGCGAUAUAAAGGUUUCGAAUAAAUUAUUCCGUUUUGGGGCCGUAGCUCAGCUGGGAGAGCACCUGCUUUGCAAGCAGGGGGUCGUCGGUUCGAUCCCGUCCGGCUCCACCAUUUGGUCAUCAUCAUUGUU